UAAAGAGUUCUAUAACUCCCAAACCCAUGUGAACAUACCUAACGUUGCCUCGGCAGGUCGCACCUACCUUGUAGCACCCUACCCUGUAGGGCCUACCCGGGAGAUGCGGGUAAGCCUGCCGGCGGCCCACCAAACUCUGUUUGAUAUUGAAUUCUGAACAUAUAACUAAAUAAGUUAAAACUUUCAACAACGGAUCUCUUGGUUCUGGCAUCGAUGAAGAACGCAGCGAAAUGCGAUAAGUAAUGUGAAUUGCAGAAUUCAGUGAAUCAUCGAAUCUUUGAACGCAUAUUGCGCCCAUUAGUAUUCUAGUGGGCAGGACCGUUCGAGCGUCAUUUCGACCCUUAAGCCUUAGUUGCUUAGUGUUGGGAGCCUACGGCAACGUAGCUCCUCAAAGUUAGUGGCGGAGUUGGUUCACACUCUAGACGUAGUAAUUUUUUAUCUCGCCUAUUAGUUGGACUGAUCCCCUGCCGUAAAACCCCCAACUUAUCAAGGUUGACCUCGAAUCGGUUCAGACAAACUCGCUAAAUUGAAGCAUCUUAGUCAGCGAAGGAAAAGAAACCAACAGGGAUUGCCCUAGUAACGGC
RNAcentral lists this ribosomal RNA (584 nucleotides) under fungal endophyte. Its description in RNAcentral is "eukaryotic LSU rRNA". The stretch from base 179 to 332 matches the Rfam family "5.8S ribosomal RNA". The record is from RNAcentral. Lineage: Eukaryota; Fungi.